GGAGCAUGUGGUUUAAUUCGAUGAUACGCGAGGAACCUUACCUGGGCUCGAACGUAAGAUGACUGUAGGUGAAAGCUUACAUCUCUUCGGAGCAUUUUACGAGGUGCUGCAUGGUUGUCGUCAGCUCGUGCCGUGAGGUGUCGGGUUAAGUCCCAUAACGAGCGCAACCCCUACCUUUAGUUGCCAUCAGGUUAAGCUGGGGACUCUAAAGGAACUGCCUACGCAAGUAGUGAGGAAGGCGGGGAUGACGUCAAAUCAGCACGGCCCUUACGUCCAGGGCUACACACGUGCUACAAUGGCCGAUACAGAGGGCAGCUACCUGGUGACAGGAUGCAAAUCUCCAAAGUCGGUCUCAGUUCGGAUCGGAGUCUGCAACCCGACUCCGUGAAGUUGGAUUCGCUAGUAAUCGCGCAUCAGCCAUGGCGCGGUGAAUACGUUCCCGGGCCUU
This 448-nucleotide ribosomal RNA is filed under the name uncultured Sphingobacteriales bacterium. Its description in RNAcentral is "bacterial SSU rRNA". It matches the Rfam family "Bacterial small subunit ribosomal RNA", at positions 934 to 1382 of the family's 1533-position model. Lineage: Bacteria; Pseudomonadati; Bacteroidota; Sphingobacteriia; Sphingobacteriales. The record is from RNAcentral.